ACCGGGUGCCGGGAGACCUGACACAUGUCACUGCUGCGGCCGCGCCGGCCGCGGCCAAACUUUCCCGCGGCGGCGGCAAGCUUAGAGAAACUCCAUUUCCUAUAUCCUACCAGUGGCUGUUGACACUAAGAAGGAAAUUCUCACUUCUAGUUUGUGGACAUGUCAAAAGAGAGAAACUCAUUUCCUCUGAAGCUCUAUGUCCCCUUUCCAGGCUAUCUUAUAAAAUGGAGAAUUAUGCUGCAGGCAAUAAACACUUUCAGCAUUC
Long non-coding RNA from Catharus ustulatus (Swainson's thrush), 265 nucleotides. RefSeq lists it as uncharacterized. NCBI's taxonomy places the organism in Eukaryota, Metazoa, Chordata, Aves, Passeriformes, Turdidae. The transcript has 2 exons. The record is from RefSeq and is a predicted model, not a curated record.